Triticum aestivum (bread wheat) is the source of this 2774-nucleotide long non-coding RNA. RefSeq lists it as uncharacterized. NCBI's taxonomy places the organism in Eukaryota, Viridiplantae, Streptophyta, Magnoliopsida, Poales, Poaceae. The record is from RefSeq and is a predicted model, not a curated record. The transcript has 4 exons.
CUAGCAUUCUGUCAUUUAUUUAUGAACCUAGCCUUCUGUCAUUUAUUAUGGACGAGUUAAUAUUUAAGAAAUAAUACAAACUCUUAGGUGUGGCCACUAGCAAUGCAGUUUCAUCUAAAGUGGUAAAUGGUGCCUUUGUAUUCAAAUUAAAUAGUUCCUGAUAAUGAAGAAACCGAAGCAACUUGGUUUAUCUAUGUUCCUUUUUUUAAUCUUCGUAGAUGGAAUGCGUUCCUACAAGAAUAACACAUGUUUGAUUUUAGCAGGCUCAAAAACAGAGGCUGUUCCGUCUUCUCCUAAUCCAGACAAGCUGGCCCCUCUUCAUUGGUGCCCGUAGUAAAUUCAAAUUUGGUAGUGACACUGCAUGCCUAAAACUCUCCUGUAGGUUGGUUCAUUGAUUUAGAUUGAUAUAAUUGUCCAAGAAGCCAAUUAAUUGAUUUGGAAUCUAUAUAUUGUGGUGCAUUAUCUAAGCUUGCACUGUUAGUGUCGUUUAAAAAUAUCUCUUGCUUUUAAAAUAGUAUUAGUAAAAUGGCUAAAGUGCACAUGAGAGUCUAAAUCAGUUUAAAUCAUAACAGUCUCAUGUUUUCUUCAAAGAAUUUUGUGGUUGCAUAAAUAAAUCGCGAGGAAGAUUUGGAUGUAAGCACCCAUCUUUCAUGAGAUAGACCUAAGUUGUACAUUUGAAUUCUUCUCUGUUUAUACUCUGCCAAGUUAUCUCAAGCAUAUGAUUUUACUUUGGUACAGGUUGAUUAUAUUACUGGAUGCAUAUGCAUAAAUCAGAGGAUAAGCAGCGGAAGGACAAGUUGUAUUUUUCGAGAUGUUCUCUUCUUCUUUAUUUUACAUGUUAAAGCAUGGACCUUCUUGCUCAGGAAUGAUACAAUCAAUCCAACUGUUACCUUUGGGGUGCUUUUUGGAUGGACUAAUCUGAAGAUGUUGGCUAGCUUGCACCGCCAUCAUAUAAUCUAGAAGCAAGGGCAAGGAUUAUAGGGAAAAUAAAGGCAAUUCGCCAACCGGAGGAAAUGCCAACCAAUACAUUUUUGUACUUCCUCUGUUACAGAGUUCGUUCAGGCCUUAGGGACGCUUUCCAUCACUGUCCAUCAACAAGUUCAACUCCGACAACGGUUCACCGAUAAUGUCGGCCGGUGCACCACGUCAGCAACGUCGACGGCCUGACAGGCCAUUUUCCAACUGGGCCUAUUGUAAAUGACGAGACCAUGAGUUUCUCCUUUUGGAGUUUACUUCUACGAGUGCUCACUCCCUGCAUCUUGUUCUGUUUUUUGUUCUAUUUUUCAGAAAAUGAAGAUAUACUUUGCCGUUCCACUAAUCUCGGCAAAAGAGUAGAUUAUGGUGCCCCUCGUGCUACAGUGGAAUUGAAUCACAAAAAAUUCUAUAGAUUCAUCAAACAAUGAAGGAGGUUAGUUUUUACCUGAGGGGCAACGGCGGCCACCGUGGUCUUGCUGGAGCCUCGCUUGCAGUCGAAAGUCAUCAGCUUCAGGGAGUGCUAGCACAGCCAAAAUAGACGCCACCUUCGACGGGGAGCAACAGCAACAACUGCGAGGAUUUGGCUCGCCGAUACGAGCAACGGCGGCGACAUACCCGCUUCCGCAACUCCGAGCUGCUGGUCCACCGAGAUGCACAUGGAGCCGGCGAGCCGUUGUGCCUCCAAGCUGCCGGGCCACCGAGAUGCAGAUGUAGCCGCAGCGCCUCUGAGCUGCAGCGAGAGCCGCUCCGCUGCCAAGCUGUAGAGUGAGCUGCCGUGAAGAUGGAGCCGUGCUUUCUCUCCAGUACGAGUACAGUGGGGAGAGGGGAACGAAUCCAAUGAAACUGGUCGAUGGAACCAAGACCAACAGUCUUCCGGAACCGACAUAUGAGAAACUAGAUCGCGUUUUAAUGGAUACCGACUGGGAAUCUAAUUUUCAUGGUGUCUGUUCGUGCUCUACCUCGUAUUGAGGCUAUAUCAGACCACGCACCCAUUCUCUUAACUACUGGUUUGCCACGACCACAACAUAGACGCAAGUUCAAAUUUGAACUUGGGUGGUUGCUUUGGGGUGGCUUCCAAGAUAUGGUCAAGGAGGUGUGGGAGAAACCAGUGGUCGGGCAUACCCCAAUUCACAGAUGGAAUAACAAAAUGCGUGCAUUACGCAAAUUCCUUGGUGGUUGGGCUAGGCAUACGGUGCGUAUCCUCAAAAAGGAGAAGCUUCGUCUUUCAUCUAUCAUUGACGAGUUAGAAGCUUUGGCAGAGGUUAGACAUUUAUCUGAGCAUGAAAUCAAGAUCAAGAGUCAUUCGAAUGCACAGAGAGCUAGCAUGCUGCGUGAAGAGGAACUCAAAUGGUACCAGCAUUCCAACUCUCAGUUUAUCCUGAAAGGUGAUUCGAAUACUAGAUAUUUCCAUGGAGUCGUCAAUGGUAGACACCGGAAGAAAAUUAUUCAUUCCCUACAACAGGACGAGGGCACGAUUGAGGGGCAUGAGCAACUUAAAUCCUACAUCACUAAUUAUUAUAAAAAUCUGUUCGGAGCCCCAGAGGAAGAAAACUUCUCGAUGGAUGAGUCCCGAACAGAUGACAUCCCCCAGGUCUCUAAUGAGGAAAAUGGACUUCUAACAGCCCCGUACACCGAGGAGGAAGUUAGAAAUGCAGUUUUCUUAAUGGAGCACAACAAAGCCCCAGGUCCGGAUGGUUUUCCCGCUGAGUUCUAUCAGAACUUCUGGGAAGUCAUCAAACCGGAUCUCCUACUUUUGUUUAGUGACCUACAUGCUGGCCAACUAGAAUUGUUUUGCUUAA